Long non-coding RNA from Micropterus dolomieu (smallmouth bass), 1074 nucleotides. RefSeq lists it as uncharacterized. The transcript is spliced from 3 exons. NCBI's taxonomy places the organism in Eukaryota, Metazoa, Chordata, Actinopteri, Centrarchiformes, Centrarchidae. The record is from RefSeq and is a predicted model, not a curated record.
CACAGAGGGAAAGGUCUGAGGAAUAGUGAGACAAGUUAUAUGACCAGGCGAGGGGAAGGCCUGUGUUAAAAUCUGUGAGGGGUUUCAAUGCUGGAUAAAUCUACGAGAUUAGAAAGGAACGAAAACCAAUGCUGAGGUUGCUCUGUUUCUGUCACCUGCUGGACAGAGAAACUCCCACCCCCUCCCUUCUGGGCUCCUUCCAAAGCCAUGCCCCCAAAACACGUGAACGCGCAUUGCCGACACCGCAGGAGGACGAGGACAGUGUGACGAGCAGAGAGCAGCGGCUGACAUCAGGGGUAAGAAAACAUCUAACUUUAUCAUUGUGAAAAUAAACAACUAACACGGCUGUUAGUACUCACUAUGAAGCUAGCAUGUUAUUAAUGGAUAGGUUAAAAAAACGACUUUUAAUCAGUAACGAGCUGGCUAGUUAACUGUUAGCAACAGGUAGCUGUGCUAACAGCUGUGGCAACAUGGGGCAAAGCUAAAAACAGGCUGAUACACAUUUUCUCGUUACCAUCAGUUAUACUACACGAACGUGUAUUUCGUGUUAGACUCAUAGCAUGUACGUUGUUAUACAUGUUAAGAGCUUCCAUGGUGACAGCAUUAUUAUCUCUGAUGAGGACUGCACCACAGAGCCAAGCACAAACCGGGACAGAACCAGGACUGGGGUCGAGGCGAAGCAGAGGAGGGAGGACUGCCACAUCUUCUAGGACCAGCAUAUGAACAGGCCAGAAUCUGAGCACUGUGGACAACAUCCAGACAACAGUGUUUCCAUGCACCACGCAAGGCUGACCUUCCAGACCCAGGACAGAGUAACAGACAGUUCAGUCAGGCAGCAUACAGACAGUUUGUAGCGUGGCAACGUGGAGCACUUGUUCACAGAGUUGUGAUACUAAGUUGCUGUUUCUGGAAGAUAUGCAACCGUUAUCCUGAUCUAUUAGGACAAUACAGAGGUUUAAUCGUAGCAGGGUGUAAGAUAUAAUGUCACCAACUGCUACACAAAUAAUUCCCUCCACUGUGUGAAUGAAUACCUAUACAUUGUUUUCGUUUUAUUCCCAGGAGGGUAGAGAAAAU